This 503-nucleotide ribosomal RNA is filed under the name uncultured Archaeosporaceae. RNAcentral describes it as "SSU rRNA". It matches the Rfam family "Eukaryotic small subunit ribosomal RNA", at positions 569 to 1078 of the family's 1831-position model. Lineage: Eukaryota; Fungi; Glomeromycota; Glomeromycetes; Archaeosporales; Archaeosporaceae. The record is from RNAcentral.
AGCAGCCGCGGUAAUUCCAGCUCCAAUAGCGUAUAUUAAAGUUGUUGCAGUUAAAAAGCUCGUAGUUGAAUUUUGGGUUUGGCCAAUUGGUCCGUUCUUGUAACGAGUACUGGUUGGUUGGGCCUCACCGCCUGGUGAUACGUAAUGUCCUUUAUUGGGUGUUGCGAGUAGCCAGGACCUUUACCUUGAAAAAUUAGAGUGUUUAAAGCAGGCUUAUGCCGGAAUACAUUAGCAUGGAAUAAUAGAAUAGGACGAUGAUUCUAUUUUGUUGGUUUCUAGGAGCAUCGUAAUGAUUAAUAGGGAUAGUUGGGGGCAUUAGUAUUCAAUUGUCAGAGGUGAAAUUCUUGGAUUUAUUGAAGACUAACUACUGCGAAAGCAUUUGCCAAGGAUGUUUUCAUUAAUCAAGAACGAAAGUUAGGGGAUCGAAGACGAUCAGAUACCGUCGUAGUCUUAACCAUAAACUAUGCCGACUAGGGAUCGGGCGAUGUUGUUUCAAUGACUCG